This 72-nucleotide transfer RNA is filed under the name Phrynosoma platyrhinos (Desert horned lizard). RNAcentral describes it as "tRNA-OTHER". The record is from RNAcentral. Lineage: Eukaryota; Metazoa; Chordata; Lepidosauria; Squamata; Phrynosomatidae.
GCCAGCAUGGCAUAGUGGUUUGAGUGUUGGACUAUGACUCUGGAGACCAGAGUUCAAAUCCCCGCUGAGCCA